UAUCAGAGGGGGAUAACCCGGCGAAAGUCGGACUAAUACCGCAUGAAGCAGGGGCCCCGCAUGGGGAUAUUUGCUAAAGAUUCAUCGCUGAUAGAUAGGCAUGCGUUCCAUUAGGCAGUUGGCGGGGUAACGGCCCACCAAACCGACGAUGGAUAGGGGUUCUGAGAGGAUGGUCCCCCACAUUGGUACUGAGACACGGACCAAACUCCUACGGG
RNAcentral lists this ribosomal RNA (215 nucleotides) under uncultured bacterium. RNAcentral describes it as "partial 16S ribosomal RNA". It matches the Rfam family "Bacterial small subunit ribosomal RNA", at positions 131 to 345 of the family's 1533-position model. The record is from RNAcentral.